GUGGAUAAAAAUGCUUUGGUACAUUGACACAAUGGAAUACUACUUGGCUGUGUAAAAGAAGGGAAUCUUAACUAUUUGUGACAGCAUGGAUGGACCUGGACCGCAUUUGAUUCAAUUAACAAAACGGGAAGAACAUUGUGACACAAGUUACUACGUGCAUGGACCUUGAGUACAUUAUGUUCAGUGCAAAAGCCAGUCAAAAGAAGACAACUACUGUGUGAUUCCACUCACAUUAUGACCCCAGGGCCAUCGGAGGCAGAGACGGAAGGCAAGAUGGAGGUACCAGUGGUGGGAGGUUGGGGUGAGAAAUGCAAUGUUGUUUAUGGGGCAGAGUUCCAGUUGGAGAAGAUGGGAAAAGAGAUGGAUAUGAUGGUGGUGUGGCCGGCACAACAGUUGAAUGUCCUUAACACCACUGCAAUGUUCACCGGAAACGAGUGGAAAUGGUAAGUUACACUGUGAUAAAACUAUGCAAAGAAAAGAAAUAAAAACAAGCCCAGGUCUUAAACAUAACCAUGGUGGUAUUGGCUCCGGCUACCUGAUUUCCUGCUCCCCAGCCGCCUCCGGAUACACAGUGAUGAGAAGAGCCUGGAGUGUGAGGUACAUUGAGAAACCCAGGCCAAGCCUUGCAUCCCUCCUGUCCAACCCACGGGCCUCUUAAGAGAGGGCUGUGAUGCUGAUUGGGGCUCACCAUUGUGUGCAGGUACAGAGCAGCGCAGCUAUGGGGAGAAUGCAUUUUACGCAGCCACUGCAGAAAGCAGCAAGGAGUUACCUCAAAAAAUUAAAAAUGGAACUUCCAUGUGUCCAUGUAACAGUGAUUCCAAUUCUGGGAAUGUAUUCCAAGAUAUCAGACACACUGAUUGGAAGGAAUAUACUCAUUGCUAUGGUCAUUACCGUGAUAUUUACAAUACUAAGAUUUGGAAGCAGCCCAUGUGCCCGUCAGAAAAUGAGUGGAUAAAAAUGCUUUGGUACAUUGACACAAUGGAAUACUACUUGGCUGUGUAAAAGAAGGGAAUCUUAACUAUUUGGGACAGCAUGGAUGGACCUGGACAGCAUUUGAUUCAAUUAACAAAACGGGAAGAACAUUGUGACACAAGCUUCUACAUGCAUGGACCUUGAAGACAUUAUGUUCAGUGCAAAAGACAGUCAAAGAAGACAACUACUGUGUGAUUCCACUCACAUUAUGACCCCCAGGGCCAUCGGAGGCAGAGACGGAAGAGAAGAUGGAGGUACCAGUGGUGGUGGGGUUGGGGUGAGGAAUCCAGUGUUGUUUACUGGGGGAGAGUUCCAGUUGCAGAAGAUGGGAAAAGUGAUGGAUAUGAUGGUGGUGUGGCCGGCACAACAGUAUGAAUGUCCUUAACACCACUGCAAUGUUCACCGGAAACGAGUGGCAAUGGUAAGUUACACUGUGAUAAAACUAUGCAAAGAAAAGAAAUAAAAACAAGCCCAGGUCUUAAACAUAACCAUGGUGGUAUUGGCUCCGGCUACCUGAUUUCCUGCUCCCCAGACGCCUCCGGAUACACAGUGAUGAGAAGAGCCUGGAGUGUGAGGUACAUUCAGAAACCCAGGCCAAGCCUUGCAUCCCUCCUGUCCACCCCACGGGCCUCUUAAGAGAGGGCUGUGAUGCUGAUUGAGGCUCACCAUUGUGUGCAGGUACAGAGCAGCGCAGCUAUGGGGAGAAUGCAUUUUACGCAGCCACUGCAGAAAGCAGCAAGGAGUUACCUCAAAAAAUUAAAAAUGGAACUUCCAUGUGUCCAUGUAACAGUGAUUCCAAUUCUGGGAAUGUAUUCCAAGAUAUCAGACACACUGAUUGGAAGGAAUAUACUCAUUGCUAUGGUCAUUACCGUGAUAUUUACAAUACUAAGAUUUGGAAGCAGCCCAUGUGCCCGUCAGAAAAUGAGUGGAUAAAAAUGCUUUGGUACAUUGACACAAUGGAAUACUACUUGGCUGUGUAAAAGAAGGGAAUCUUAACUAUU
Myotis myotis is the source of this 1973-nucleotide long non-coding RNA. RefSeq lists it as uncharacterized. The transcript is spliced from 3 exons. NCBI's taxonomy places the organism in Eukaryota, Metazoa, Chordata, Mammalia, Chiroptera, Vespertilionidae. The record is from RefSeq and is a predicted model, not a curated record.